Bactrocera oleae (olive fruit fly) is the source of this 1337-nucleotide long non-coding RNA. RefSeq lists it as uncharacterized. The record is from RefSeq and is a predicted model, not a curated record. NCBI's taxonomy places the organism in Eukaryota, Metazoa, Arthropoda, Insecta, Diptera, Tephritidae.
UAUAUAUAUAUAUAUAUAUAUAUUAAUGCCUUAAAACGCAAUAACUUGUAAGAGCACAGUUAAUUUUUCUACUUUUCCAAUUUGCAACAACACACACAUAAAUUAAAGCAAUGAAAUCCGUAAGCACGGCGCGGCCUUAACAAAUCGCAAAUGGCACGACAAUCAAUGGAAUUCGCCAACAGUUAAACAGCGUUGCGGCUUUAACACACUUGCGGCGGCUACCAGCAUUGGUGACAAUGCCAAAAGACACUGAAAGCUGUGCGACUUUGAAAUAGUCAUUGACAAAGGUUGCGCUGCUGGUUGAUGAAUUGCUGUCAAGCACCUGCGCUGAGCAGAAGACAAGCGAAGAAAAGUCGUCAAUAACCAUUUUCGGUAUAUUUCGUGUGAAAAUAGAUAAAAAUAGCUAUCAUAGGCUGGCGCAAAAUGCUGAAACCAAAUCAAAUAUUUGUGCGCAAACAGCAGGUGAAGCGCUGGUUCAAAGCCGCAGAAGGCACGAGAGACACGGCAGAGCAUACACUACACUCGCAUUCGUCACUCAACUCAAAUCCAUAUGUUUAUAUGUAUGUACAUAUGUGUGUACGAGUUCAUGAGCGUUUCGCGUCAACUACCUGUUGAGUUUGUUAAUUUUUCUAUGGCAACGGACAGCGCACGAAAAAGUAAAUAAAAAUGUGUAUGAAAAGAUUUGAACAGCGCGCGAAGUGAAUUAUGAGGCUUGUGAGAAAGCGCGGCGCUGCACGGAGCGCAAGCGAAAGGCAUGGCAAAUAUACAGAAAUUGUUUGUGAAAAUUUAAUAUGAAAGUGAAGUAAAUUAAACAGCCGGACAAGCGGUUGAACUAAAAAGUGCGCCAGCAAACAUUUGGCAUGCACUGAGCAGAUCGACCCUCUACACUUGCAAUAUAUGUACAUACAUAUAUGUACAUAUAUAUAAUAUAUGCUAGUAUAUUGUGUGCGUCUGCAUGUGUACGUGUUGGUAUGUUACAUGAAUAUCCAUUGUGUAUAUUGCUUAGAUCGUCGUAAACAUAACGUUAUGCCAUUAAUUUUACGAUAUUAUGUUUCAACAGCGCCAACGCGAGUGCAACGGAGAGUUCCGGCAGCACGGUUCAUUGACGAACAGCUUGCAAACACACAGUCACAUACAAAUGCAUGCUCUUAAGUUUAGAGCGGAGCGUGCAUAGCAUCCGUUAGGAGAGCAGGAGCGUGAGAAAGAGCGCCUAAGGAACUGUUUGGCCAACAACUUGAAAUUACACCCAACAGCUGAGAAAACAGCCGAGGCAAAAUAGUUCAAACUUCCUUUAUACUAAUAACAAUUUAAUAAUAAAAAAAUGUUUUGUUAAACGA